Molecule: transfer RNA, 74 nt
Filed under: Alphaproteobacteria bacterium
Lineage: Bacteria; Pseudomonadati; Pseudomonadota; Alphaproteobacteria
Also listed under: 1 other name
Description: tRNA-Arg
Rfam family: tRNA
About the family: Transfer RNA (tRNA) molecules are approximately 80 nucleotides in length. Their secondary structure includes four short double-helical elements and three loops (D, anti-codon, and T loops).
Source: RNAcentral
GUCCCCGUAGCUCAACUGGAUAGAGCGUUGCCCUCCGGAGGCAAAGGUUACGUGUUCGAAUCACGUCGGGGAUA